Molecule: ribosomal RNA, 860 nt
Filed under: Podospora appendiculata
Lineage: Eukaryota; Fungi; Ascomycota; Sordariomycetes; Sordariales; Podosporaceae
Description: LSU rRNA
Rfam family: Eukaryotic large subunit ribosomal RNA
Source: RNAcentral
CCGCUGGAACUUAAGCAUAUCAAUAAGCGGAGGAAAAGAAACCAACAGGGAUUGCCCCAGUAACGGCGAGUGAAGCGGCAACAGCUCAAAUUUGAAAUCUGGCUUCGGCCCGAGUUGUAAUUUGUAGAGGAAGAUUUUGGUGAGGCACCUUCUGAGUCCCCUGGAACGGGGCGCCAUAGAGGGUGAGAGCCCCGUAUAGCUGGAUGCCUAGCCUGUGUAAAUCUCCUUCGACGAGUCGAGUAGUUUGGGAAUGCUGCUCUAAAUGGGAGGUAAAUUUCUUCUAAAGCUAAAUAUUGGCCAGAGACCGAUAGCGCACAAGUAGAGUGAUCGAAAGAUGAAAAGCACUUUGAAAAGAGGGUUAAACAGCACGUGAAAUUGUUGAAAGGGAAGCGCUUGUGACCAGACUUGCGCCGGGCGGAUCAUCCGGUGUUCUCACCGGUGCACUCCGCCCGGCUCAGGCCAGCAUCGGUUUUCGUGGGGGGAUAAAGGCCCGGGGAACGUAGCUCCUCCGGGAGUGUUAUAGCCCUGGGCGCAACGCCCUCGCGGGGACCGAGGUUCGCGCUUCUGCAAGGAUGCUGGCGUAAUGGUCAUCAGCGACCCGUCUUGAAACACGGACCAAGGAGUCAAGGUUUUGCGCGAGUGUUUGGGUGUAAAACCCGCACGCGUAAUGAAAGUGAACGUAGGUGAGAGCUUCGGCGCAUCAUCGACCGAUCCUGAUGUAUUCGGAUGGAUUUGAGUAGGAGCGUUAAGCCUUGGACCCGAAAGAUGGUGAACUAUGCUUGGAUAGGGUGAAGCCAGAGGAAACUCUGGUGGAGGCUCGCAGCGGUUCUGACGUGCAAAUCGAUCGUCAAAUCUGAGCA